AGCGAACGCUGGCGGCAGGCUUAACACAUGCAAGUCGAGCGGGCAUCUUCGGAUGUCAGCGGCAGACGGGUGAGUAACACGUGGGAACGUACCCUUCGGUUCGGAACAACUCUGGGAAACUGGAGCUAAUACCGGAUACGCCCUUAUGGGGAAAGGUUUACUGCCGAAGGAUCGGCCCGCGUCUGAUUAGCUAGUUGGCGGGGUAACGGCCUACCAAGGCGACGAUCAGUAGCUGGUCUGAGAGGAUGAUCAGCCACACUGGGACUGAGACACGGCCCAGACUCCUACGGGAGGCAGCAGUGGGGAAUAUUGGACAAUGGGCGCAAGCCUGAUCCAGCCAUGCCGCGUGAGUGAUGAAGGCCUUAGGGUUGUAAAGCUCUUUUGUCCGGGACGAUAAUGACGGUACCGGAAGAAUAAGCCCCGGCUAACUUCGUG
This 435-nucleotide ribosomal RNA is filed under the name uncultured bacterium. RNAcentral's name for it is "partial 16S ribosomal RNA". It matches the Rfam family "Bacterial small subunit ribosomal RNA", at positions 29 to 507 of the family's 1533-position model. The record is from RNAcentral.